RNAcentral lists this signal recognition particle RNA (262 nucleotides) under Acidobacteriota bacterium. RNAcentral's name for it is "Acidobacteria bacterium signal recognition particle sRNA large type". It matches the Rfam family "Bacterial large signal recognition particle RNA". Rfam says of the family: The signal recognition particle (SRP) is a universally conserved ribonucleoprotein involved in the co-translational targeting of proteins to membranes. Archaeal SRP consists of a 7S RNA and homologues of the eukaryotic SRP19 and SRP54 proteins. The record is from RNAcentral. Lineage: Bacteria; Pseudomonadati; Acidobacteriota.
CCGUGCUAGGUGGGGAGUUAGCGGUGCCCUGAACCUGCAACCCGCUCUAGCAGGACCGAAUUCCACCCUGAGGUGUUUAGCGCUCGUGUUCGGAUCGCCAUGGGAAAAAACGGCGUCGGGCCCUGUGCGGUGCAGACCUGCGAACCCCGUCAGGCCCGGGAGGGAGCAGCGGUAAGUAGGCACCUGCAGGUGCCACAGACCAACCCGGCGGAUGUCCCUAGGCGCGUCCGGCCUUGUGUUGGCUUCGAUGGGUGGUGCACGG